Molecule: ribosomal RNA, 463 nt
Filed under: uncultured bacterium
Lineage: Bacteria
Description: bacterial SSU rRNA
Rfam family: Bacterial small subunit ribosomal RNA
Source: RNAcentral
CCUANGGGUGGCUUCAGUAACGGAUCUUCCGCAAUGGGCGCAAGCCUGACGGAGCGACGCCGCGUGCAGGAGGAAGCCCUUCGGGGUGUAAACUGCUGUCAGGGGUAAGCAAGCGACCCGGGUGAACAAUCCGGGAAGUUGAGCUAUCCCAGAGGAAGCCACGGCUAACUCUGUGCCAGCAGCCGCGGUAAUACAGAGGUGGCGAGCGUUGUUCGGAAUCACUGGGCUUAAAGGGUGCGCAGGCGGUCGGAAGGGUGUCUUGUGAAAUCCCUCGGCUUAACCGAGGAAUUGCGGGGCAAACCGUCCGACUUGAGGCAGGUAGGGGUUGAUGGAACUCUGGGUGGAGCGGUGAAAUGCGUAGAUAUCCAGGGGAACGCCAAUGGCGAAAGCAGUCAACUGGGCCUGUCCUGACGCUGAGGCACGAAAGCCAGGGGAGCAAACGGGAUUAGAUACCCUANUANUC